This 500-nucleotide ribosomal RNA is filed under the name uncultured Acrocarpospora sp. RNAcentral describes it as "bacterial SSU rRNA". It matches the Rfam family "Bacterial small subunit ribosomal RNA", at positions 34 to 554 of the family's 1533-position model. Lineage: Bacteria; Bacillati; Actinomycetota; Actinomycetes; Streptosporangiales; Streptosporangiaceae. The record is from RNAcentral.
CGCUGGCGGCGUGCUUAACACAUGCAAGUCGAGCGGAAAGGCCCUUCGGGGUACUCGAGCGGCGAACGGGUGAGUAACACGUGAGUAACCUGCCCCUGACUCUGGGAUAAGCCUGGGAAACUGGGUCUAAUACCGGAUAUGACACACGAUGGCAUCGUCUGUGUGUGGAAAGUUUUUUCGGUCAGGGAUGGACUCGCGGCCUAUCAGCUUGUUGGUGGGGUAGUGGCCUACCAAGGCGACGACGGGUAGCCGGCCUGAGAGGGCGACCGGCCACACUGGGACUGAGACACGGCCCAGACUCCUACGGGAGGCAGCAGUGGGGAAUAUUGCGCAAUGGGCGAAAGCCUGACGCAGCGACGCCGCGUGGGGGAUGACGGCCUUCGGGUUGUAAACCUCUUUCAGCAGGGACGAAGUUGACGUGUACCUGUAGAAGAAGCGCCGGCUAACUACGUGCCAGCAGCCGCGGUAAUACGUAGGGCGCAAGCGUUGUCCGGAAUUAU